RNAcentral lists this long non-coding RNA (383 nucleotides) under Malus domestica (apple). Its description in RNAcentral is "long non-coding RNA (MDOM_LNC003316)". Lineage: Eukaryota; Viridiplantae; Streptophyta; Magnoliopsida; Rosales; Rosaceae. The record is from RNAcentral.
AUAAAAUGUAAAUGACACAAGAUGUAUUGUGGUUCACCCCAAGGUUUGGGCUACGUCCACACUAAUUAUGUAUUUAUUUGAGGGAAUAGAGAGGGAGAGGGUGAGAGCUUCUGAGAGUUUCUGAGGGUGAGAGAGGGGAUCUCAGGCCUAGGAAUUGGUCUCUCCUUAAUUGUGAGGAUGAGGAGUCCUUUUAUAGAAUAAGGACUCUUCACUUAUUACAUAUUUGCCCCUUCCCUUAUUGCAUAAUUACAUUUGAGUCCCCCGAGUAUUUAUACGAGGUCUAAAUACGGAGGCCCUAAAUAUGGUAUAAACAGUAGUCCCCCAAGUCUUCAGUCAAGAGAGUCUUUUGACUGGAGACUUGAAAUUCAGUCCAUGUGUGGGCC